This 373-nucleotide ribosomal RNA is filed under the name uncultured organism. RNAcentral's name for it is "bacterial SSU rRNA". It matches the Rfam family "Bacterial small subunit ribosomal RNA", at positions 526 to 896 of the family's 1533-position model. The record is from RNAcentral.
CGUAGGGUGCGAGCGUUGUCCGGAAUUAUUGGGCGUAAAGAGCUCGUAGGCGGUUUGUUGCGUCUAUCGUGAAAACCUGCGGCUUAACUGUGGGCUUGCGGUGGAUACGGGCAGACUUGAGUUCGGUAGGGGAGACUGGAAUUCCUGGUGUAGCGGUGAAAUGCGCAGAUAUCAGGAGGAACACCGGUGGCGAAGGCGGGUCUCUGGGCCGAUACUGACGCUGAGGAGCGAAAGCGUGGGGAGCGAACAGGAUUAGAUACCCUGGUAGUCCACGCUGUAAACGUUGGGCGCUAGGUGUGGGGAGCAUUCCACGUUCUCCGUGCCGUAGCUAACGCAUUAAGCGCCCCGCCUGGGGAGUACGGCCGCAAGGCUA